The sequence is a small RNA, 314 nucleotides long. It matches the Rfam family "Mycobacterium smegmatis small RNA 1". From Rfam's summary of the family: Mycobacterium smegmatis small RNA 1 is highly expressed during stationary phase of growth. Ms1 RNA directly interacts with RNA polymerase (RNAP), but in a different way than 6S, which is present in other bacteria. Ms1 does not require the presence of the main sigma factor for RNAP interaction. The record is from Rfam.
ACGGAAGCGCGGUAAGGCCAAGGCCACGCCGGAAGAGAAGGCGUAGUCUCCCGAGCCGAGCUCCCCAGCACGGAUCCCGGCACCCACGCGGAGCACAUACCGCGAUAGAGGUAAAAGUGUUGCGGGCCUGCGGAAUUGCGAUAGCGGAUGACAUCGACGGUCCUUUGGGUGGGAUCGCAGACACAGCGCACCGCAAGAACGCCGAGGCCACCCACGCAACCCACAGAGCACGCUUGGUAACCGGAGUCCGUGCUAGCGGGCGGCGAGCCGAAUCAGAUGCAGGUCUGAUACCGGAGCGCCGCCCGUUUUUAUGU